GUGCUUGCUUUGGAAGCACAUAUACUAAAAUUGGAAUGAUAGAGAAGAUUAGCUUGGCCUCUGUGCAAGGAUGGCAUGCAAAUUCAUGAAGUGUUCCAUAUUUAA
This is a small nuclear RNA of Lutra lutra (Eurasian river otter), 105 nucleotides long. The record is from RefSeq and is a predicted model, not a curated record. NCBI's taxonomy places the organism in Eukaryota, Metazoa, Chordata, Mammalia, Carnivora, Mustelidae.